UUGUUGCGGUUGAAAAGCUCGUAGUUGGACUUCUGGCGACUGGAUUUGGUCCGCCACGAGCGAGUACUGAAUCCGGUUGUCGUUUGUGUCGACGAGGUUCUGUCGGACUUCACUGGCUGGCGUACUCCUGUCGACAGGGUUACUUUGAGGAAAUCAGAGUGCUCAAAGCAAGCGCACGCUCGUGACUUCACUAGCAUGGAAUAACACAGAUGGGCUCUUUUUCGCAACGUUGGUCUGCGUCAAUUGAGCAACGAUCGAUAGAGACGGUCGGGGGCAUUCGUAUUGCGCAGUUAGAGGUGAAAUUCUCCGAUCUGCGCAAGACGCACUAAUGCGAAAGCAGUUGCCAAGGACGUCCUCUUAUGAUCAAGAGCGAAAGUCGGGGGAUCAAAGAUGAUUAGAUACCGUCGUAGUCCCGACCAUAAAUGAUGCCGACUGAGCGUCGGCGACUCGGCCAUCGGCCGUACGUCGGCGCUCUUGAGAGAAAUUAAAGUCUUUGGGCUCCGGGGGUAGUAUGGUCGCAAGUCUGAAACUUGAAGGAAUUGACGGAAGGGCACCNNUGCGGCUUAAUUUGACUCAACACGGGAAAGCUUACUAGGUUUGGACACUUGAAUGAGGGACAUAUUGAAGCUCUUACCUUUUUUUGUGGAUGGUGGUGCAUGGUCGUUCUCAGCCCGUGGGUUGACUUGUCAGGUUUACUCCGGUAACGCGCGAGACCUCGGUUUGCUAAAUAGACGCGGCUGUUUCGGCACCCGUGCUCUUCUUAGAGAGAGUCUCGACGAGAGUCGAGGGAAGUCGAGGCAAUAACAGAUCUGUGAUGCCCUUAGUUAUCCUAGGUCGCACGCGCCAAACAAUGUCGCUUACAACGAGUUCCUAGGCCGACAGGUCCGGGCAAUCUUGCAGAGAGCUACGUGACUGGGCUAGACUUUUGUAAUUGUUGGUCUUCAACGAGGAAUGCCUAGUA
Molecule: ribosomal RNA, 961 nt
Filed under: Johnson-sea-linkia profunda
Lineage: Eukaryota; Viridiplantae; Chlorophyta; Ulvophyceae; Bryopsidales; Halimedaceae
Description: SSU rRNA
Rfam family: Eukaryotic small subunit ribosomal RNA
Source: RNAcentral